This 494-nucleotide ribosomal RNA is filed under the name uncultured bacterium. RNAcentral describes it as "partial 16S ribosomal RNA". It matches the Rfam family "Bacterial small subunit ribosomal RNA", at positions 28 to 507 of the family's 1533-position model. The record is from RNAcentral.
GACGAACGCUGGCGGCGUGCUUAACACAUGCAAGUCGAACGGUGAAGCGCCUUCCUUUUUGGUGGGUGUGGAUGAGUGGCGAACGGGUGAGUAACACGUGAGUAACCUGCCCCCUUCUUCUGGAUAACCGCAUGAAAGUGUGGCUAAUACGGGAUAUUCUGGGUCUGUCGCAUGAUGGGUCUGGGAAAGAUAUUGUUUCGGUGGGGGAUGGGCUCGCGGCCUAUCAGCUUGUUGGUGGGGUGAUGGCCUACCAAGGCGGUGACGGGUAGACGGCCUGAGAGGGUGGACGGUCACACUGGGACAGAGACACCGCCGAGACUCCGACGGGAGGCAGCAGUGGGGAAUAGGGAACAAUGGGCGAAAGCCUGAUGCAGCGACGCCGCGUGAGGGAUGGAGGCCUUCGGGUUGUGAACCUCUUUCGCCAGUGAAGCAGGCCUGCCUCGUAUGUGGGGGGGUUGACGGUAGCUGGAUAAGAAGCGCCGGCUAACUACGUG